Long non-coding RNA from Gossypium arboreum, 2720 nucleotides. RefSeq lists it as uncharacterized. The record is from RefSeq and is a predicted model, not a curated record. The transcript has 2 exons. Lineage: Eukaryota; Viridiplantae; Streptophyta; Magnoliopsida; Malvales; Malvaceae.
GAACUUGUCGUGGUCCAUGAUUUAAUCAAAAGCUGCUUGUUUCGGACAAAGAUAGAUUGCUUUAAAAACUGAUUUAGGAUUGUUUAACUUUCCAAUUUAAUACGAUAAAGAAUAUGGUCAAAGUUAAAUGCAAGGUUAGACGUUGAAAUCCUAUCAAACUUCUUUCUUUUAGAGGAGGGUUGAUAUUAGUGUUUAACAAGGGGAGCUAAGGAGGAGACGAUGGUAAUGAUAAGGAGGUUGGUUCACUUGUUAUAGGCGAAGAGCUGGAGUAUUUAGGGGAGGAGGAAGGAGGAGAUGAAUUGGGGAGUGCUUAGGGUUUUAAGGGUCAAAAGAUCCUUCGUGGGUGGAGGUCCCCUUUCCUGAUAGCGACACAUCACCGACAACAUGGAUGGUGGCCAUUCGAUAUGAUCAGCCAGGUGGUUAAGAUGGUUUCGAGGCCAAUUGGGUGAAAUGGUUGAUGCUCUCUAUUACUUUUGUUCAGUACUCAACUGCGUUUAAUGGAAGGCAGGUCGGCCCAAUUAUACCUCAUAGGGGUCUUCGACUAGUGGACCUUAUCUCCUUAUUCGUAUCUUAUCUGUAGGGACGGGCUUAGCUUCCUUCUACGUCGAGCAAAAGCAUGGGGAGAUAUUCAUGGGCAUUCUAUUUGUCGGGGUGGCCCGAGCAUUUGUCAUUUUCUUUUCGCCAAUGACAACUUUUUAUUUUUUCAGGCUAAGGAGAUGGAGGUUCUUAUGAUUAAACGUAUCUUGUCUUGGUAUGAGGAUGAGUCAGGGCAAUCGAUAAAAUUUCACAAAUCUGGUGUUAUGUUUAGCACCAAUAUAUCCAAAGGGGUAAACUCAACUAUUUGCUCUAUUUUAGGAGUGUUUAAUCCUAUGAACCAUGGACGUUAUCUUGGGUUGCCGUCUUUAAUUUGUAAGAAUAAGAAACAAGCUUUCUCUUAUGUCUAGGAGAGACUCUGUAGUUUCUUGGUUUUUAGUAUGAGUGUGUUCCAACUUUCGGAUGCCAUGUGUGUGGCCUUGCAGAGGAUGAUGAACUACUUUUGUUGGGGUUUGGAUGGGGGAACGGAAGGAAAAUUCAUUGGGCUUCGUGGGACAGGCUAUGUGCCCCUAAGAAAUUUGGUGGCAUGGGUUGUUGUGAUUUACAUUGUUUUAAUCUUGCCUUCCUUGGUAAACAGGCAACUUGCUUUAUUACAAAUCCGAACGCUUUGUCAAGUCGGUAUUUCAAGGCUAAAUAUUUUUCGACUUGGGAUUUUUUGGAUGCUUAGCUUGUACAUUUGCAGAAGCAUGUUUGCAGCUACCGGCCUCCUUUCAAAAGGUAUGAGGUGGAGGGUUGGAGGCGGAACGUUGAUCUCGAUUUCAAUGAUUCUUGGAUUUGUGAUGAUCAAAGUUAUUAUGUUGAUUCUCUUCCCUUACUAAGUAUGGAAUCGCUAAAGGUAUAUGAGUUGUUAGACACUAUGGAGACCGAUUUGGAUGAUGGUUUUAUACAAGGUAUUUUCCCCCUUCCGAUGCAAUGCAAAUUUUGAAGCUACUGGUGAUUCAUGCAAAGCCAACUGAUGGGUUGAUAUGGGAUUUUAGUCCGGAUAGGCGAUACACUGCGAAGACGGGUUACAAAGUCACAUCUGAUUCUUUUUCGAUGAUUUCUCAGUUUUCAAUUAAUAGUACUUGGUUCGCUUUAUGAACAACUAUAUCCCUCCAAAGGUGUGUUUUUCCCUUUGGCGUUGUAGGAGAAAUUUCACUCCAUAUAAGUCUCGUUUGCUUAUCGGGGGCUGAAUAUUCUGCCAAAUUGCUCAUGUUGUGGCUCGACUGAAACUCUUGAAUAUGCGGUGUUUUGAGUGUGUGAAGGCAAGGGAGGUGUGGCAUUUGGCCGGCUUAUCUUUACCCAACUCCUCUUGUGCCGUUUUUGUUGCGGAAGGUGCAAGUAUGUCGGAUGUGGGCCAACAAAACCACGUGUUUGUGCUGCUGUGGUUUUUAUGGUUUUAUCGAAAUCUAUUUACUUGGCAGAAUCGUGAUGUACCUUCUUCACAUAUAGUGUAUGUUGCUGCUGUGUUUUUGUAGAAUUAGGAGGCGAGGGGCAUUUAUGAAAGGGUGCAAAGGGGAUUGUCGGCGUCUGGUGGUUCACGGGGUGGUCGAUGGGUAGCUUCUUGUCAAGAUCGAAUCAAGUGCAACGUGGAUGCUGCCUUGUUUUAGGAAUCUCGGUAGUCGACGUUUGCUACUAUUCUAAGAGAUUUUAAGGGCAAUUUUCUCAAGGCUUAUUCUGGCUACGCAAACCUUGCUAUGGCACCACAUAUGGCUAAAACGUAUGCUAUUAGAAAAGCAUUUUCGUUGCUGAAAUCAGAGGAUUAUGAUGGGAUUGUUAUAGAAUCGGAUUGUUGGCAAGUGGUACAUUCUUUGAAUAAUUCAAUUGAUGAUACCUCUGAAUUUGGCUUAUUAUUAUGAAUUUUCAAAAUGUUGCAUAUCAAUUUCAACAUUUGUCCUUUUCUGGAUUCGCAGGAAACAAAGUCGCUCACUCUUUCGCUCGGGUAGCUUUGUUAUAUGCGAACCACAAUGAAUGGCAUAGACCAUAUAUCAGCGUUUCUUAUUUGCUUGAAUCUGACGCUCUUUUUGUUAAUUCCAUUGAUAGUGAUCCGCGUAGGUUUGGGUGCCCGAUGGCUUAGGUUAAAUGGCCCUCCUAUCUUGGUUUUCGAUGUUUCUUUGCUUUUUAAUUAGGGAUAAAUAUUAAAAUUA